This 253-nucleotide ribosomal RNA is filed under the name uncultured bacterium. Its description in RNAcentral is "partial 16S ribosomal RNA". It matches the Rfam family "Bacterial small subunit ribosomal RNA", at positions 524 to 776 of the family's 1533-position model. The record is from RNAcentral.
UACGGAGGGUGCAAACGUUGCUCGGAAUCAUUGGGCGUAAAGCGCACGUAGGCGGUCCUUUAAGUCGGGUGUGAAAGCCCAAGGCUCAACCUUGGAAGUGCAUUUGAAACUGAAGGGCUUGAGUACGGAAGAGGGUCUCGGAAUUCCCGGUGUAGAGGUGAAAUUCGUAGAUAUUCGGAAGAACACCAGUGGCGAAGGCGACUCACUGGACAUGUAUUGACGCUGAGGUGCGAAAGCGUGGGGAGCAAACAGG